This 441-nucleotide ribosomal RNA is filed under the name uncultured bacterium. RNAcentral describes it as "bacterial SSU rRNA". It matches the Rfam family "Bacterial small subunit ribosomal RNA", at positions 60 to 524 of the family's 1533-position model. The record is from RNAcentral.
AGUCGAGCGCCCCGCAAGGGGAGCGGCAGACGGGUGAGUAACGCGUGGGAAUCUACCGAGCCCUAAGGAAUAGCUCCGGGAAACUGGAAUUAAUACCUUAUACGCCCUUCGGGGGAAAGAUUUAUCGGGGUUUGAUGAGCCCGCGUUGGAUUAGCUAGUUGGUGGGGUAAAGGCCUACCAAGGCGACGAUCCGUAGCUGGUCUGAGAGGACGACCAGCCACACUGGAACUGAGACACGGUCCAGACUCCUACGGGAGGCAGCAGCGGGGAAUUUUGGACAAUGGGGGCAACCCUGAUCCAGCCAUGCCGCGUGAGUGAAGAAGGCCUUCGGGUUGUAAAGCUCUUUCAGCCGGGAAGAAAACGCAUGGGUUAAUACCCUGUGUGGAUGACGGUACCGGAAUAAGAAGCACCGGCUAACUACGUGCCAGCAGCCGCGGUAAU